This 365-nucleotide ribosomal RNA is filed under the name uncultured Rhodoferax sp. RNAcentral's name for it is "bacterial SSU rRNA". It matches the Rfam family "Bacterial small subunit ribosomal RNA", at positions 1014 to 1382 of the family's 1533-position model. The record is from RNAcentral. Lineage: Bacteria; Pseudomonadati; Pseudomonadota; Betaproteobacteria; Burkholderiales; Comamonadaceae.
CUCGAAAGAGAGCCGUAACACAGGUGCUGCAUGGCUGUCGUCAGCUCGUGUCGUGAGAUGUUGGGUUAAGUCCCGCAACGAGCGCAACCCUUGUCAUUAGUUGCUACAUUCAGUUGGGCACUCUAAUGAGACUGCCGGUGACAAGCCGGAGGAAGGUGGGGAUGACGUCAAGUCCUCAUGGCCCUUAUAGGUGGGGCUUCACACGUCAUACAAUGGUCGGUACAGAGGGUUGCCAACCCGCGAGGGGGAGCUAAUCCCACAAAGCCGAUCGUAGUCCGGAUCGCAGUCUGCAACUCGACUGCGUGAAGUCGGAAUCGCUGGUAAUCGUGGAUCAGCAUGUCACGGUGAAUACGUUCCCGGGUCUU